GCUGUUUACACGUGUGUCUCGGUGUUAAUAACGCUUGCUGAGAGGUUUCCUUCCGUUCAGAGGUCUCACACUCAAUUAAGUUGUAGAUGGGCACAGUUGUUAGCGCAGGUUACUAGCACAGGAGACAGGAGCUGGUACCCAGAAGGUGUUACUACACCUGAGGAGGGUGUAACAAGGAGAGCGGUGGCACUUUGGUCUAUAAAACUUACCAUCACACACCAGUUGUUCACCACCAUCACUCGGUUUGCCGUAUGCUCCUUGCCCUUAAGCCCCAAAUGACCUUGGUGGCCAAGGACCGACACUCCCAGCCUCCAGAGCCUUGCUCUCCCGAAGCACCGGGAUGCAUGUUGUUCUGCAGGUGAUACGCAUCCCGCUCCUCCUGUGGGCUCUCCCUUUAAUUAGUUCUGUCAUAUGCCUGACACGUGUGCAAGCAGUGGAGUGUAGCAGUUGGCACGUCUUCCUGAGAAGCUUGCCUUGGCUAGAAAAAACAGUUUCCAUGUGAAGGGGAGACUGACAAAACACAGGCAGAGCAACCUCCUGACUUUCGGAAGCAUAGUUUCUGUGCCUGCAAGGCUGCAAGGGUAUGUGGAGGCAGGGGUCUGCAGGCAGGGUAUUGAAUGGGGGAGGCAGGAGGAAUGUAGCGUGUGUGAAGGCACAUGAUUUAAAGCUGGUCGGAUAUUUUUAAAAUUUCAAUUAAAGUGACUCUGCAAUGAAAUUUUUCACAAAUCGUAUUGCUGUUUUCCCUCUGGGUUCCUAUGGAAACGGGCCUUUAUGUGCUCAUGCUUAGCUGUAUCUCCUUUACUUCUCCAAUAACUUUUGAAGCUGUUGGGCAGUUUCACCCAAAUCUAUCUCAAAUAUAAUUAAGUUAUUUCAUGAAAAUAGGCAGCUGGGUAGGGCUGAGAGAUCCUGUAAAUGUCCCAAAGGCUGUAACAUGAACUUGCCUCUUAUUAAACAGCGAUUCACAUGGCUGAGAGACGGUAUAAAUGUCUGGAGUUGGAAUAGGCACAUGCAGAGGGGAAGAAAGCAAUGAGAAAUUACUAAAGUCUGUAUCCUGCUAGUCAUUUCACCUGCUUUGCUGUGUGGGCCUGGCCAGUGGUGCAAAGCUCUGUAUGUGAGGGGCUUUGCAAAGGUGGGAUUAAAGAAUAAAAAAUAAAAAUUAAAAAUUAAUUAAAAAA
Molecule: long non-coding RNA, 1175 nt
Organism: Pezoporus flaviventris
Lineage: Eukaryota; Metazoa; Chordata; Aves; Psittaciformes; Psittacidae
Exons: 2
Source: RefSeq, a predicted model, not a curated record